Molecule: ribosomal RNA, 714 nt
Filed under: Streptomyces violaceorubidus
Lineage: Bacteria; Bacillati; Actinomycetota; Actinomycetes; Kitasatosporales; Streptomycetaceae
Description: bacterial SSU rRNA
Rfam family: Bacterial small subunit ribosomal RNA
Source: RNAcentral
ACCACUUCGGUGGGGAUUAGUGGCGAACGGGUGAGUAACACGUGGGCAAUCUGCCCUGCACUCUGGGACAAGCCCUGGAAACGGGGUCUAAUACCGGAUACUGAUCCUCGCAGGCAUCUGUGAGGUUCGAAAGCUCCGGCGGUGCAGGAUGAGCCCGCGGCCUAUCAGCUUGUUGGUGAGGUAAUGGCUCACCAAGGCGACGACGGGUAGCCGGCCUGAGAGGGCGACCGGCCACACUGGGACUGAGACACGGCCCAGACUCCUACGGGAGGCAGCAGUGGGGAAUAUUGCACAAUGGGCGAAAGCCUGAUGCAGCGACGCCGCGUGAGGGAUGACGGCCUUCGGGUUGUAAACCUCUUUCAGCAGGGAAGAAGCGAAAGUGACGGUACCUGCAGAAGAAGCGCCGGCUAACUACGUGCCAGCAGCCGCGGUAAUACGUAGGGCGCAAGCGUUGUCCGGAAUUAUUGGGCGUAAAGAGCUCGUAGGCGGCUUGUCACGUCGGUUGUGAAAGCCCGGGGCUUAACCCCGGGUCUGCAGUCGAUACGGGCAGGCUAGAGUUCGGUAGGGGAGAUCGGAAUUCCUGGUGUAGCGGUGAAAUGCGCAGAUAUCAGGAGGAACACCGGUGGCGAAGGCGGAUCUCUGGGCCGAUACUGACGCUGAAGAGCGAAAGCGUGGGGAGCGAACAGGAUUAGAUACCCUGGUAGUCCACGCCGU